UACAGAGGUCCCAAGCGUUGUUCGGAUUCACUGGGCGUAAAGGGUGCGUAGGUGGUCGGGUAAGUCCGAUGUGAAAUCUCCAGGCUCAACCUGGAAAUGGCAUUGGAUACUAUUCGGCUUGAGGAGUGGAGGGGGGACUGGAAUUCUCGGUGUAGCAGUGAAAUGCGUAGAUAUCGAGAGGAACACCAGUGGCGAAGGCGAGUCCCUGGACAAUUCCUGACACUGAGGCACGAAAGCUAGGGGAGCAAACAGG
RNAcentral lists this ribosomal RNA (253 nucleotides) under uncultured bacterium. RNAcentral's name for it is "partial 16S ribosomal RNA". It matches the Rfam family "Bacterial small subunit ribosomal RNA", at positions 524 to 776 of the family's 1533-position model. The record is from RNAcentral.